GCGAAGCAGGCGAGUAUGUUUGUGGCUUUGGAUAAGCUGUUUGCUUUGCACAACGCGAUGCUUGUUGAGUCCAGGGUGAUCAAAGCUUUCUUCAUCUACUUCUUGUCGAUCUUUGUUAUCUACAUGUUCACGAGUACGAAACAGACUUACACCAUAAGGCCAAGGCUUUACAUUGGUAAGUACCAUACUCCAUCUCUCUUAUAAAGUUAGUAAUACAUUAGUUAAUUAGUUAACAUAACUUUUUUAUUUCGCUGAUGCAGGUUUGUGCGUUACCUUAGCAUUAGAAGUGGCAAGUUUGCGUUACGUGAAUGAUGCAGAGAAUAGAGCAUGGGUUAUAAACGUUAUCAGGUCUAUCUUCGCUGCUCUUGCUUCAG
This 374-nucleotide long non-coding RNA is filed under the name Brassica rapa (field mustard). RNAcentral describes it as "long non-coding RNA (BRAP_LNC001775)". The record is from RNAcentral. Lineage: Eukaryota; Viridiplantae; Streptophyta; Magnoliopsida; Brassicales; Brassicaceae.